GGAAUAUUGGACAAUGGGGGCAACCCUGAUCCAGCAAUGCCGCGUGAGUGAUGCAGGCCUUAGGGUUGUAAAGCUCUUUUACCCGGGAUGAUAAUGCCAGUACCGGGAUCAUAAGCUCCGGCUAACUCCGUGCCAGCAGCCGCGGUAAUACGGAGGGAGCUAGCGUUGUUCGGAAUUACUGGGCGUAAAGCGCACGUAGGCGGCUUUGUAAGUUAGAGGUGAAAGCCUGGAGCUCAACUCCAGAAUUGCCUUUAAGACUGCAUCGCUUGAAGCCAGGAGAGGUGAGUGGAAUUCCGAGUGUAGAGGUGAAAUUCGUAGAUAUUCGGAAGAACACCAGUGGCGAAGGCGGCUCACUGGACUGGUAUUGACGCUGAGGUGCGAAAGCGUGGGGAGCAA
Molecule: ribosomal RNA, 396 nt
Filed under: uncultured bacterium
Lineage: Bacteria
Description: bacterial SSU rRNA
Rfam family: Bacterial small subunit ribosomal RNA
Source: RNAcentral